UAGCUUUUAAAAGACUAUUUUGAAAAUAGUCAAUGGAGUUUCUUCAAAGCUAU
Molecule: transfer RNA, 53 nt
Filed under: Lepeophtheirus salmonis (salmon louse)
Lineage: Eukaryota; Metazoa; Arthropoda; Copepoda; Siphonostomatoida; Caligidae
Description: tRNA-Ser
Source: RNAcentral